UCCUAAGCUGAACAUCUAGGCCCUUUCACUGUUCGAGUUGUAACUUGAAGAAGGUAUCUUUGGAGUUGGCCCCCGUCUAUGUUCCUUGGAACAGGACGUCACAGAGGGUGAGAAUCCCGUGCGAUGGGGAGACCAAUUCUAUGUAAAGUUCCUUCGAAGAGUCGAGUUGUUUGGGAAUGCAGCUCUAAGUGGGUGGUAAAUUCCAUCUAAAGCUAAAUAUUGGCGAGAGACCGAUAGCGAACAAGUACAGUGAUGGAAAGAUGAAAAGAACUUUGAAAAGAGAGUGAAAAAGUACGUGAAAUUGUUGAAAGGGAAGGGCUUUUGAUCAGACUUGGUGUUUAGUACUCUCUACUCCUUGUGGGUGGGGCUCUUGCUUUAUACUGGGCCAGCAUCGGUUUGGAUGGUAGGAUAAUAGCAUUGGAAUGUGGCUUCAUUCGUGAAGUGUUAUAGCCCUUGUUGAUACUACCUAUCUAGACCGAGGACUGCGUCUUUUGACUAGGAUGCUGGCGUAAUGAUUAAAAGCC
Molecule: ribosomal RNA, 524 nt
Filed under: Nakazawaea ernobii
Lineage: Eukaryota; Fungi; Ascomycota; Pichiomycetes; Alaninales; Pachysolenaceae
Description: eukaryotic LSU rRNA
Rfam family: Eukaryotic large subunit ribosomal RNA
Source: RNAcentral